AGUGAAUACUCUCUGUGGGCCUACUAUGUGCCAGGCAUUAUGCACCAGACGAAAACAUAUCUUCUUGAGAAGCCAGUGCUAAGUCACUGUUCUUGUUCAUAUUUGGAUCCCUUCCCUUUUCAGGUUGGUUCAUUAACGGAAAUAUUAACAGCAACUUAUAUGUACUUCUCCACUUGUUGCUCCAAGAGAUUUACAGCCUCUUUUUCUGUCUUCAGAUACUACUUUGAAAACAAGAUGAAAGCCAUGGAAUCUCCCGAGAAAAAUGUACAUCUUACAGACUUUCAGUGAGUUCUGGAAUACCAGGAACCAGAGCCCACACUAAUGAACAGCAGUUUCCUAACCUAAUGCGAGAGAUUUGAGAUUUCUUCUGGCUCCCAUGAUCUUCUAAUUGUCUUCUUAGCAAGACUAAACACAUCUCCAAGAAAUGUGCACUGCCAUGAAUGUCUUCCAGCUAUCUUCUAUGACAGCACUUCCCAGUGUGUUCUGUGGAAUAAUGGUACAGGGUGAUAUUCUAUGAAGAAAAAUACGGAAAGUAAUAUACUCCACAGUCCGUAUAUUAGAUCGGACUAAUAAAAAUAAAUAUGGAAAGUAAUAUAUUCCACAGUCAUAUAUUAGAUCGCCUACACAACAGCAAUUUGAUAUAGUUUAAUAGGAUUUGAAUGAAUAAAAUUAAUGCCCACAGCUACUUUCUUCUGCCGGUAAAUAUUUUUCUGCCCAUAAUCUUGCUAAACAGAAUUCAUCUGAACUUACGUUGUUGCCAACAAAUAUACGAACAAU
This 777-nucleotide long non-coding RNA is filed under the name Homo sapiens (human). RNAcentral describes it as "NAF1 antisense RNA 1 (NAF1-AS1)". The record is from RNAcentral. Lineage: Eukaryota; Metazoa; Chordata; Mammalia; Primates; Hominidae.